This is a non-coding RNA of Condylura cristata (star-nosed mole), 384 nucleotides long. The record is from the annotation of a RefSeq genome assembly. Lineage: Eukaryota; Metazoa; Chordata; Mammalia; Eulipotyphla; Talpidae.
AUGGCCUGGGCACCUCUCCUCCUCACCCUCCUUGCUCACUGCACAGGGUCCUGGGCCCAGUUUGAGCUGACCCAGCCCCGCUCAGUGUCGGGGUCUGUGGGGCAGACGGUCACCAUCUCCUGCACCCGCAGCAGCGGUGACAUUGAAGAUGGCUGUGUUCUGGUACCAGCGGCGCCCGCGCGGCGCCUCCAGCACUGUGAUCUAUGCUGAUGACCAGAGACCCUCAGGGGUCCCCGGUCGGUUCUCUGGCUCCAUCGACAGCUCCUCCAUGCCGCCGCCCUGACCAUCUCCGGGCUGCAGCCCGAGGACCAGGCCGACUACUACUGUCAGGCUUACGACAAUAGCAGUUAUAGCUCGCAGUGCCCCAGACGGGCGGGGAAGUGA